This is a non-coding RNA of Sorangium cellulosum, 159 nucleotides long. The record is from Rfam. Lineage: Bacteria; Pseudomonadati; Myxococcota; Polyangiales; Polyangiaceae.
UGAAUUCCUGCCCGACCAAGGUAGGGCCGCCAGUCGGAAGCGAGUCUUGCGUGGUGACCGAGGGCAACCCGGACCACGAAGCGUAGACAGCGAGCACGCGGGCUGCGGAAUCGGGCUCCGAAAGAAAGAAGUCGUGGAAGCCGACGGGACCGUAAGCCC